UACGUAGGGUGCAAGCGUUAAUCGGAAUUACUGGGCGUAAAGCGUGCGCAGGCGGUUUUGUAAGACAGAGGGGAAAUCCCCGGGCUCAACCUGGGAACUGCCUUUGUGACUGGCGUGCUGGAGUAUGGCAGAGGGGGGUAGAAUUCCACGUGUAGCAGUGAAAUGCGUAGAGAUGUGGAGGAAUACCGAUGGCGAAGGCAGCCCCCUGGGCCAAUACUGACGCUCAUGCACGAAAGCGUGGGGAGCAAACAGG
RNAcentral lists this ribosomal RNA (253 nucleotides) under uncultured bacterium. RNAcentral describes it as "partial 16S ribosomal RNA". It matches the Rfam family "Bacterial small subunit ribosomal RNA", at positions 524 to 776 of the family's 1533-position model. The record is from RNAcentral.